UUACUCCUACGGGGGGCAGCAGUGGGGAAUAUUGGACAAUGGGGGGAACCCUGAUCCAGCGACGCCGCGUGAGUGAAGAAGUAUUUCGGUAUGUAAAGCUCUAUCAGCAGGGAAGAAAAUGACGGUACCUGACUAAGAAGCCCCGGCUAACUACGUGCCAGCAGCCGCGGUAAUACGUAGGGGGCAAGCGUUAUCCGGAUUUACUGGGUGUAAAGGGAGCGUAGACGGCUAGUCAAGUCAGCAGUGAAAGCCCAGGGCUCAACCUUGGGACUGCUUUUGAAACUGAGUAGCUAGAGUGCAGGAGG
Molecule: ribosomal RNA, 305 nt
Filed under: uncultured bacterium
Lineage: Bacteria
Description: bacterial SSU rRNA
Rfam family: Bacterial small subunit ribosomal RNA
Source: RNAcentral